Molecule: long non-coding RNA, 6370 nt
Organism: Phyllostomus discolor (pale spear-nosed bat)
Lineage: Eukaryota; Metazoa; Chordata; Mammalia; Chiroptera; Phyllostomidae
Exons: 2
Source: RefSeq, a predicted model, not a curated record
AAAUUUUAUUUUAAAUAUUUUAUAGGAAUAUUUGGCCAAGCACUGUAGUUUGGGAUGCAACUUUGGGAGAGUUCUUUUUUCAAUUUGAGGCCCUUUGCAGUUUUAAAUAUAACAGUUUGUAUUUAGUAAAGUUGAUUUAUCAGUUCUUGAAAAAACGUUAGUUUUAGAUUGCUGGUGGGAAAGUGUGUAAUGAGAAUUAGUCUUGUCAUAGUUGCUUAAAAGGACUAAAGUGGAUAGGGAGGCCACAUUGUUUAUUUCAAAAUGAUUAAUUUUUAUCUUAAUCCUCCCAAUUUAGAGGUGGUAGCUGGUAGGUUAUGCCCCAUAGGAUUGUCCCUUUCUUAGAUGUCAAUCACACUUGAGCACUUACGGCAGACUUUUGUCAGUGUGAGUUUUGAGACAAACAAUUAGCAGUUUCCCAUUCUGGAAAACCAGAAGGCCCUCUAGUAAAGAAAGAUACCUUACACAUAAGGUAUCUAUCUCCUCCAGUGUAUCUGGAAAGGCUGGAGAGAUAAUGGUGAAAUGUCAAAUCCGGCUUUGAAGACCAUAUCUUCAUUCAGCCUUUUAAUGAAAGAAUAGAAAGUGAGGAGGCCUCCCAGUGACUUCUGUUAAGCAAAAGUGUAUCUGAAGAUGCUCUUAUCUUCCAUCAGUCUUUUUACUAUGGGAAAGGAAGGUAUAAGAAACUCUUUGACAGCAGUAAAAUGGAUAGUUCUUGAAAUUAGAGUAGUUUUAUAGUAAAAGGGUACAAUGUCAGCAGUUGGCUCCCUCUACUUAAGGGAAGCUUUUUUAGUGGUGUAAGUGAAAAUUGGUGUAUUUGCCAUAUCAGUUCUACAGUUGAUGUUUGUUUGUGGUUUAAUGAUUUUAAAUGGUUUUAAGGAAAUGUCACAUGAAAAUGUGGCAUAACAAAUUUGAAAAACUGAUUUGCUACAAAGCUUUAAAUGACAUCUAAAGAUUACAGAGCAAGUUUCAGAUACUUCACAGGGAGACCUUUAUUUGCUGGGGUUUUUGUUUUCUGAGGUUGAUUUUAGAUGUUAAAAGAUCAAAGCUGUUUUUAUGAAUUUCUAGAACAGUUGGUAUGUAGAAUGCAAUGAGAUCUGUUAAAGCUUUUUCUUAUGCUUCUGGGUUCCUUCCAUUCUUUUCCUAACUUUUCAUUUGUUUAGCCUUGUAUUUUGUAUACUUCUGUUGGUUUGAAAAAUGCUCACUGAAAUUCAUCUUCUCUGCUUUUUGUAAUUCAAAGUUCAUCCCUUUUUGUAGGUGACUUGCUUAUGGGGAGUCUUUCUUCCAUUUGAAAACUCUUAGAGACUACCACAUGUCCAUAAGUGAGCUCAGCUAGCUAGUUAAUUGAGAAAUUUUAUAUUGAUGGGACUACUGAGUAAAGCAACUGAUUACACAAGCCACUUAGAAAAAAUCCUCUUUUGCUCCCAUGUUUCACUUCUCACACAUAGGUGCACACCUAAAAUGCAGUUUGAGUUUAAUUGUUCGCCUUUGGUAAUAGUCAACAGGUGAUCUUCCCUUUUCUAGCUGUCAGAAGCCAUUUUUUUCUGAUGGGUUGGUAAAUAAGCAUUUGCCUACCUCUCUGUUCUGUUGUACCAUGCCCCCAUAUUUCUUAAAGAAAUGAUAACUGGUUUUCCAACCCACUCCCCACUCCCAAUACCCAUGCACAUCUGUGAGUGAAGAAUGUAUUUUCUCUCUUCACAUCUCUCUCAGUUUAUAGCAUAUGUAAAUUACAUUCCCCAUAACUUUAAUAUGAUGAUAUUACAUGAAGCAGAAAGACCUGUUGACAAAUAGAAACUCUGGGGUGUAUUCUUUAGGGUAUACUUCAAAGAUGCAUUUAUUUCUCCUUUCUUUAUUAAAAGAGUUGAUCAUCUCAAUCUUACUUCUAAACAUGUGAAUUAUGUACAUAAUUUCUACUUCUAAAUCUAUGCUACUCUGGAUUAUUUACCUCUCAAAUUCAGUGCCCAAAAUCAAAUAUAAGUCUUUAGUUUUCUUUGUACCCAAGCUAACAUGUCUAAAAGAAUGAACUCUCAUCAAGCUGUACAUUUAUAUAUGCUUAUGUGAAAAUUCUGCAGCUCAUUGUGUUAAUUUUAAUAAGUUUACCUAGUACACAGAUUAUUAGUAAAUGUCUUGCUAAAAUAUACUAAUCAAAUUAGAUAAAACACCUAUGUGAAGUCAAAAUGUUAAAUUGUGUAAAGCCUCCUUUCCCAUAAUCUUUCGCUAAAAUUUGACGGAAGAUUAUUGAUGUAUAGAAGAGAAACUGUGAUUAAUGUGUCAAUUAUUAUAAAUACUGCUGGUGUAUUUUAAAUGUUAUUUUUAAUGUUUAGGCUAUCCCUCUUCACUUUUACACAAGUAAAUUAAAUGAAGGAUACCCAAAGCAAAAUUUAAAGCAAACUAGCUUCUAAAGUAGAAUUAGAAUUUAUUCUUACUAAAUGGUUUUGUAAGUUAAACCAAAACAAAUUCUUGCUUAAUAUAUGGCCUACCUAGCCUUUGAAAACGAAAACAAAAAAGGAGAUGGAGGCUGUUGUUCAAAGAAAAUCAAUGGUAUGUUUAAUUAUGCAUUAGCAUAUUAUAUGAUUGACCAUUAUAGACAAUGAAGUCAGACAUGCCUGGGACCAAAUCCAACUUUGCUACAUAUUUGAGGCAUUUGUCCUUGAGCUAUUUAUUUAGCCUUCUAAGCCUCUUAUUUCCCUAUAUGAAAAAUGGGGAUAAUGCCUGCCUUUGAGAGUUUGAGAGAAUAAAUGAGUUAUGCAAAUAAUUUGUGAAAAAUCCAUACACAACAUAAGGCAGUAUGUAUAGCAAGCAUAUAUGGUAGAAACCUCAGUUUCAGUGUCCAAACUGCUUUCCUACAUCACCCCUUGACAUGCUACAAAUCAUACCAGGAGUCUUCAGUUUUGAUCUAAAAGUAUAAUUGCAUGGUAUGGAUAUAAUCAGAAAAGAAGACAUUGUUGUAGGCUAGAAAAGUCUUAAUGUUGUAAGAAGUAAACAAAUUAUGUUCUGAUCCUGGCUCUUACACCACUUAGUUGGUUUCUUUGGUCAAGUCAUUAAACUUCUUUCAGUUUUCCUCAUUGGUAACAUUAGAAUUUGAGACUUCAUAAGAUUUUAAAGUUCCCUAUAUAUUAGUUCAUACAUUUAGACAUGUUUUGUAAGAGAGCUGCCAACUUAAGCCUUCCCAUUGCCAUACCCUUUUCUUACCACCAGCCUAUUGUGUGCCCCCCAAAUGAAGUUUAUGAAUACUUGGUAAGUAGGUUGAAUACCCAAGAAAAUAUUUAAAGCAACAGUAUGUCAGUCAUUCAACUAUCUUUGUGCUGAGUAGUAAGUAUUGGGAUACAGAAAUAGGACUAUUCUGCCCUUAAAGAUCUCAGGCUGUAUGAAAAUAAUUUGUAAAUAUAAGGUGCUGAUGGGAACAGUCCAGGAUAUCCGUAUGUCAAAUUGGUAUGGGGAGGAAGUAGUUAAACUGAGUUACCCUUCAGAUUAAUUUAUUCUCUGCAUAGGUAAUACAUCUAUAAAGUUAAAAAUUUUAAAUGUACAAGAGUAUAAAUUGAAAGCCUCUCUGACACCUCUUUCCUCCAGCCACCCAGUUUGCAUCCUUAGAAGCAACCCAUUAUUGUGCAUCCUUCUGAAGCUAACUCUUGAACUGAGUCUUAAAAGGGUCAUUCAUAAAUGAUAGGUCACUGAUAAAAUAUUAGGUCGUUGAUAAAAGAAGGGGAUGAUUUUCCAAGUAGAGGGAGAAGGCAGUUUGUAUAACAAUGGAAGAGUGAAAAUAUGUCACAUUUGGGAAAUGAUGUGAUUAAUUUGACAGGAACUAGAGCAAAGGGCUUACAUGUCAUGGUAAGAAAUUGAGAUUUUUAUCAUUAGUGUAUGGUUGCUGUUAAAGGUGUUUUUGAAGCUUUAUUAUUAAAGUAGUACAUAUCUUGGAACCAUUACAGUAUACUUUUCAAUGAGUAUCCUAUUGGUAAUUUAAAUCUUGUAAUAAAGUUUUGUAUAAGAAAAUCCUGGGGGAGCUCUGGCUCCCAGAACUCAGGAUUCCCAUCCAAUAAAAAGUACUAAAUGGCUUGGUAUACCUAAAUGUAGCUUAAGUAUUCUGUUUGCUUUAAAUAACUUGUUUGCCUCAAUAUUACCUUAAAAAUGAUUAAAUAUUUUGGUACAUGUUAAGAUAUUCUGCCAAAAAUUGAUUUUUGGUACAGCAGAACUUUAAAAAUUAUAACCAACCCUACAUUAAACACAAACCAAGUUUGUGUUAAGUCUUAUGCAUACAUAACCUGAUUUAUCUUUUAAGGAACUCUAAGGAAGUGUUUUUAUCCCCUCUUUAUAAAUGAAAGGAACUGAGGCUCUGAGGAUUUGACUCACAUAGCUAGUAAGUGACAAAGCAUAGAUUCAGACUCAGGUGUUCUGCUCCCAAAGCCAGUGCUCUUGGAAAUUGCCAGAGUUUAUUUUAUUACUUUGCUGACUGUAAAAUAGGAGGAAGGAAAACCUGUAGCCAUUGAUUUGUUUGUAUUGUAACCCUUUACUUGAAGGAUAUUUUUAAUCAUUUUAAAUCCCUAGAUGAUAAUGUUGGAGAUGGCCCUUGUUGUUUUCUGCUUAUUGUAUUUCCCUGGUUUUAUUUUGAGAUCUCUAAAGUUGAGUUUUGAAAGAGGAGAAGAAAUUUGCAUAUUUCAGGGCUCAUGUAUGUACCUUAACCUUAAAACUUCAAUGAUUUUUGUAGCUUAGUUUUGAUGUAUCGUAUACGUGGUUGGGUGUUUUUUUUUCUGUUAUAAUUACCCUGCAAAGAUAGACAUAUGUCACACUUGCAUCAACUUUAUGAUGUAUUACUUUCAUGUACUUGAAACUAACAUGACAGACUGUGUAGGUAUAUAAAGUCAGGGAGAAAAGAAUAUACUUUGUUCAUUGGUUUUGAAAAAUAAUCAGGCUGAUCAGUAUUCACAAAUGGCUUUUUUGAAGUUCUGGAUCAGCUAGGUUUCAUGGACUUGACUCCUUUAUUCUGUACCUGUUAAUCAGUGUUUUGAGACUAAAUACUGUUCGAAUUUGCUAAAAAUCCUUUAUUUAUAACAGAUAAGCUGAAGUAUUAGAGAAACCAAAGAUUUCAUAUUUUAUACAACUGUCUUUAUCCUGGCGAUAUGCACUGUUUAAAUUUUUCUCUAGUGCAUAGAUUAUGUAACUCCAUAUAGUUUCUUCAUUUUUAAUAUAUGUAGAAACUGAUUGUUAACUGCAAGCUUUUGCAACCUAAGUGUAUUUGUUCUGACAUUUAGGUCCAUUUAUAGUAUUUUAUUUCACAGGUUCCUUUCUCACCCCAAGAAAAAUGACUAACUGCAGAUAAGAUCUUUUUUCACUUCUACAUUUGACUUAUGAGAACAUUUCAUUAAUAGUCUGUUCUGUAAUAAUACUGGAAUUUGGUAACUUAAAUCAUAUGACUUCAUUUAAAACAGAUUUAUUUGGCAUUCAAAUUAAAUAUAUAUGUAUAUGUUUUUCUAAAGUCAGGAUCUCAAGCUGUUCUUUUAAAGAAUGCCAUCCUUAUAAAUAUAUUGUAAAUACUAUUUAAUGAAUCUUACAUUUCAGACCUGCAGAAUAACUUCCAAGUUUACUCUUUGUUACUUUCUUGUAUUUACUACCUUUCUUUUCAAGUCUUUCUGUUAUUUUAAACCCCAUGGUCUCCAUACAGACCUGUGUGAAUAGCAUACUUGUUUCCAUAUAGUUCUGGGUAAGCCUUGUAAAAAAGCCAGGUUCAGUUUCCAAUUGGUUCACUUACUUUUCAUUUAAUUUGGCAGACCUAUUCUAAGUACAGUGAAAAAAAGAGGCCUGACAAAUAUAUCUUGAGAGGAUACAAGCUGUUAAAUAAACAGCAGUUAGCAGCCUCUUAAUCCUUUCCUGAUAUUAGUAGGUCUAAUCAGUGCCUUUGAUUGCCUAAACCCAGUCAAGAGAAAAAUAAAGGGUUAAAAGAACAGAAAGGAGUUGAAGUAGGACAAGGAAAGAAAAAAUACACAUACUGUAGACUCCUUACUAAUCAAACCUUAACUUUGGUGACACUCUGGCAUCUAGUUUUGGAUCAUCUAAGAGGUGCCCUACUGAUUAAAGUUAAAAAUGCCUCUUAAAAAUGUGUUCUAAAAAUUCAGUAGAUAACACCAUGAGUCUUAAUUUUACAUUUGAAGUCAUACAAUUCUAUUACUUGUUUUGUUUGAUGAUCAUUGAUACUUGAUUGCUAUUCCAUUAAAACUUGGAAAUAGUUUUCUUACUGUACUAAUAAUACAGCAGAGACUCUCUUAAGGUACCUGUUAGGGGCUCAGAAUUGUCAUAUUGUAUCUGAACCUCAUUUUGAUGAUAAAAUAAUAGUUAUUAUUUACAUUGAACAUUUUUGAACAUUGACUAUGUGCCAGGAGCUUAA